UACAGAGGUCUCAAGCGUUGUUCGGAUUCAUUGGGCGUAAAGGGUGCGUAGGCGGCGCGGUAAGUCGGAUGGGAAAUCUCGGAGCUUAACUCCGAAACUGCAUUCGAUACUGCCGUGCUUGAGGACUGGAGAGGAGACUGGAAUUUACGGUGUAGCGGUGAAAUGCGUAGAUAUCGUAAGGAAGACCAGUGGCGAAGGCGGGUCUCUGGACAGUUCCUGACGCUGAGGCACGAAGGCCAGGGGAGCAAACGGG
RNAcentral lists this ribosomal RNA (253 nucleotides) under uncultured bacterium. RNAcentral's name for it is "partial 16S ribosomal RNA". It matches the Rfam family "Bacterial small subunit ribosomal RNA", at positions 524 to 776 of the family's 1533-position model. The record is from RNAcentral.